This 474-nucleotide ribosomal RNA is filed under the name Firmicutes bacterium RD1-3. Its description in RNAcentral is "bacterial SSU rRNA". It matches the Rfam family "Bacterial small subunit ribosomal RNA", at positions 12 to 502 of the family's 1533-position model. The record is from RNAcentral. Lineage: Bacteria; Bacillati; Bacillota.
UGUGAUCCUGGCUCAGGACGAACGCUGGCGGCGUGCCUAACACAUGCAAGUCGAGCGGGGAGARAWAUUCGUAUUUCUCUUUAGCGGCGGACGGGUGAGUAACACGUGGGUAACCUGCCUCAAAGUGGGGGAUAGCCUUCCGAAAGGAAGAUUAAUACCGCAUAAUAUCAUGGCGCUGCAUGGCGCAGUGAUUAAAGGAGCAAUCCGCUUUGAGAUGGACCCGCGGCGCAUUAGCUAGUUGGUGAGGUAACGGCCCACCAAGGCGACGAUGCGUAGCCGACCUGAGAGGGUGAUCGGCCACAUUGGAACUGAGACACGGUCCAGACUCCUACGGGAGGCAGCAGUGGGGAAUAUUGCACAAUGGGGGAAACCCUGAUGCAGCAACGCCGCGUGAGUGAUGAAGGCCUUCGGGUCGUAAAGCUCUUUGAUCAGGGACGAUAAUGACGGUACCUGAAAAACAAGCCACGGCUAACU